This 86-nucleotide ribosomal RNA is filed under the name Rathayibacter rathayi. Its description in RNAcentral is "partial 23S ribosomal RNA". Lineage: Bacteria; Bacillati; Actinomycetota; Actinomycetes; Micrococcales; Microbacteriaceae. The record is from RNAcentral.
UUCAAGUUUUUAAGAGCAAACGGUGAAUGCCUUGGCAUCUGGAGCCGAAGAAGGACGUCGUAAUCUGCGAUAAGCCUCGGGGAGCU